Syngnathus acus (greater pipefish) is the source of this 1273-nucleotide long non-coding RNA. RefSeq lists it as uncharacterized. The transcript is spliced from 2 exons. NCBI's taxonomy places the organism in Eukaryota, Metazoa, Chordata, Actinopteri, Syngnathiformes, Syngnathidae. The record is from RefSeq and is a predicted model, not a curated record.
GGGGGAGGGACCGUCCACUCAUGCACAUCCCCACACACAACCCGAUCUCCCUGCAGCCUGUCAACAUUUACUGCGAAGCGACCGGGACUCCUCCGGGGAUGACCGCCGGCCGGCCGGCGCGCACCGACUUGGGCUCAAUUGGUGACCUACUUUUACCCCCCCCCCCCCAAGACUUUCUCAUUUUCCUGUAGGUGAGUGGCUUGUGUUAUGGUCUGGUUGCUGACUAUUUAUGAGCUAGUACAUGCUUUGCAGGAGAGAAGGAGGACAACAAACUAAAAGGCUCUCCAUGUGGCACAGGAAGUGAAUUUUGUGGAAGCCUCCACUGAGCUCUUCUCUCUCCCCAUUCUGGCUAUGGAGCAUGAAGUGAGGAUGGGGCUGUCGGCGUGGGCCAUCGCCGCCAUCGUUUGCAACUCGGCGGUGGGCGUCCUCAUCCUCAUCCUCUUCGUCGUCCUGUACAAGGCCUGCCAGGUGCCAUCCAAACCGGCGCCCGUCUUCACGUCCGAACCGGCGAAGAAGCAGCAGAAGUCUGAGCACAAGUAUCUUCUAGCAGCCUGAUGGUGACAAAGCCAACCAAAAAGGAGCUCCUCUUUUGUCUUAUAAUAUUUCGAGGCUAUCACCGUGCUGCAGCUUCGUGUGCAAAUACUCUAAGCAAGACCAAGCCGGCCGGCCCAAUCCUCUUAUCCCUGCGGUGCGUCUCUGGGACUGUCCAUCUGUCAGUCUAUUUGCUCUGCGGCUCGCUCAUUUUCAGAGGAAUACCACAAACUUGAGUGGUGGUGUUGGCUAGAAGGAGAAAUCACAUGAGGGUGAAAGCCUUUUUAUUUUAUUUUUUUAUAGACAGGAGUUCAACCUUUGCUAAAAAGUCCUAUGUGAUAAAUUGUGGGAGCAAAUAUUACUUUGUCUUAAUGUGCCUUACUUUGAUUGCUGCCGUUUAUUCAGUGUACUGGCAAUAAUAGACAGAGCAAAGCAGUACGUUUUUUUAUUGCGCAUUAAUCAGGACAAGAUGUCAUAUUCAUUUAUAACCGCCACUGAUGUCUUCACGAGAAAUCAGUUUGGGAAUUGUAUGUUGAGUUUCGAAGUUUAUAACUCGCCGAUUUUCAUUGGAAUAGACUCCAUAAAAAAACGGUCGCAGUACAUUCCAUCAACACGGCGGACAUGCUAAAAGAUUUAUUGGAAGCAAUUUUUUUCCAUUAGGGUGAAAUAAAGCAUUUCAAAGACAGCCAGUUGUUUUCACAUUUUGUUAACAAUGAAUUAAAGCCUCAAUUCUGAGAACUAA